GGGUCGAUGGUGCGGCUGGUUAUCGCCUCUGUCUAACCUCGUAUCUUGCCUUUGCUGUAUACAGAAGGCUCCCAGUUCAAACCUGGGCCGAUUCA
Molecule: non-coding RNA, 95 nt
Organism: Tephrocybe rancida
Lineage: Eukaryota; Fungi; Basidiomycota; Agaricomycetes; Agaricales; Lyophyllaceae
Source: the annotation of a GenBank genome assembly